RNAcentral lists this small nuclear RNA (278 nucleotides) under Cricetulus griseus (Chinese hamster). Its description in RNAcentral is "7SK RNA". It matches the Rfam family "7SK RNA", at positions 60 to 331 of the family's 331-position model. From Rfam's summary of the family: 7SK was discovered as an abundant small nuclear RNA in the mid-70s but a possible function has only recently been suggested. Two independent studies have found that 7SK RNA binds the CDK9/cyclin T complex (known as elongation factor P-TEFb). The record is from Rfam by way of RNAcentral. Lineage: Eukaryota; Metazoa; Chordata; Mammalia; Rodentia; Cricetidae.
GGCUGAUCUGGUCGUCUAGCCUGGUGUCUCCUUCCUCACUCACUAACCCUUCUGCAUUCCUCCUUAGCUUGUGCACUUUGUCAAAGAGAACAAUCUUCCUCAAGAAAGGAAGAUCGUCCCUUAGUCAGGGGAUAUGAUAAGCUGAUUUUCCCCAUGAGAACCCCCAAAGAAUCUCCCAGGGUUUAAUUUUUUAAGAAAAGAAUCAGCUUAUUGUUUCUUGCUGUUAAAAAUUCUCAGUCCUCAGCAUAUAUGUUGUGAUUCUGUAGCUUGGGGUUUUU